RNAcentral lists this ribosomal RNA (490 nucleotides) under uncultured bacterium. Its description in RNAcentral is "partial 16S ribosomal RNA". It matches the Rfam family "Bacterial small subunit ribosomal RNA", at positions 30 to 507 of the family's 1533-position model. The record is from RNAcentral.
AUUGAACGCUGGCGGCAGGCCUAACACAUGCAAGUCGAACGGUAACAUGCACCCGCUUGCUGUUUCGCUGACGAGUGGCGGACGGGUGGGCAGUGUCUGGGAAACUGCCUAAUGUAGGGGGCUAACUACUGGAAACGGUAGCUACAACCGCAUAACGUCCCAAGCACAAUGUGCGGGACCUUCUGGCCUCUUGCCACCCUUUCUGCCCAGAUGGGAUUAGCUAGUCGGUGGGGUAACGGCUCACCGAGGCGACGAUCCAUAGCUGGUCUGAGAGGCUGACCGGCCACACUGGAACUGAGACACGGUCCAGACUCCUACGGGAGGCAGCAGUGGGGAAUAUUGCACAAUGGGCGCAAGCCUGAUGCAGCCAUGCCGCGUGUAUGAAGAAGGUCUUCGGGUUGUAAAGUACUUUUAGCGGGGAGGAAGGGAGUAAAGUGAAUACCUUCGCUCAUUGACGGUACCCGAAGAAGAAGCCCCGGCUAACUACGUG